AGAGUUUGAUCAUGGCUCAGGAUGAACGCUGGCGGCGUGCCUAAUACAUGCAAGUCGAACGAGGUGCUUUUGUAGCAAUACGAGAGUAUCCUAGUGGCGAACGGGUGAGUAACGCGUUGGUGACCUACCCCAAAGUGUGGGAUAACAGUCCGAAAGGAUUGCUAAUACCGCAUGUGGUCAUUGGAUCUAGAAACUGAUGACUAAAGGAGCAAUUCGCUUUGGGAGGGACCUGCGUCCCAUCAGCUAGUUGGUGAGGUAACGGCUCACCAAGGCGACGACGGGUAGGGGACCUGAGAGGGUGGCCCCCCACAAUGGAACUGAAACACGGUCCAUACACCUACGGGUGGCAGCAGUAGGGAAUAUUGCUCAAUGGGCGAAAGCCUGAAGCAGCAACGCCGCGUGUGUGAUGAAGGCCUUCGGGUCGUAAAGCACUUUUCUGGGAGAUGAGAAAGGACAGUAUCCCAGGAAUAAGUCUCGGCUAACUACGUGCCAGCAGCCGCGGUAAAACGUAGGAGGCAAGCGUUAUCCGGAUUCACUGGGCGUAAAGCGCGUGCAGGCGGUGCGGUAAGUUGGGUGUGAAAUCUCCCGGCUCAACUGGGAGAGGUCAUUCAAUACUACCGUACUUGAGAGUAGAAGAGGAAGAUGGAAUUCCCGGUGUAGUGGUGAAAUGCGUAGAUAUCGGGAGGAACACCAGUGGCGAAGGCGAUCUUCUGGUCUAUUUCUGACGCUCAGACGCGACAGCUAGGGUAGUAAACGGGAUUAGAGACCCCGGUAAUCCUAGCCGUAAACGAUGUGAACUUGGCGUUGGUGGGUUAAACUCCAUCAGUGCCGUAGCAAACGCGAUAAGUUCACCGCCUGGGGACUACGGCCGCAAGGUUAAAACUCAAAGGAAUUGACGG
Molecule: ribosomal RNA, 899 nt
Filed under: uncultured bacterium
Lineage: Bacteria
Description: bacterial SSU rRNA
Rfam family: Bacterial small subunit ribosomal RNA
Source: RNAcentral